GGAGAAGGGUGAUUUUGGUUAUUUGCUUGAAGUUGUUAUUUUGUUAGAGGUUUACUUUAUAGGACUAAAGGUUAAAAGUUUCUAAUGGUUGGAUUUGUAUAAAACUUGUUACAGAGGGUAGGGGACUAGAUUUGUGCCAGCAUCCGCGGUCAUACUCUUCCUAUAAAAUUUAGUAUUUUCUUAGGAAAGUAAUGUUUUUAAAACUUGGUGGGUGAAAUCUGCAGUUUGUUAUUUGUGCUUCGAAGGUUGUGAUCAGCUGCAGGACUAGGAUUAGACACCCUAUUACUCUGAGGUUACACUAAAGUAGUAACUGAUGCUCAGCAAACUUAAUUAUUCUGGCGGUUCGCUACUUUUACAGAGGAGCUUG
Molecule: ribosomal RNA, 367 nt
Filed under: Lepidoglyphus destructor
Lineage: Eukaryota; Metazoa; Arthropoda; Arachnida; Sarcoptiformes; Glycyphagidae
Description: 12S ribosomal RNA
Source: RNAcentral